Molecule: ribosomal RNA, 446 nt
Filed under: uncultured bacterium
Lineage: Bacteria
Description: partial 16S ribosomal RNA
Rfam family: Bacterial small subunit ribosomal RNA
Source: RNAcentral
CCUACGGGUGGCAGCAGUCGAGAAUCAUUCACAAUGGGGGAAACCCUGAUGGUGCGACGCCGCGUGGAGGAAUGAAGGUCUUCGGAUUGUAAACCCCUGUCAUGUGGGAGCAAAUUAAAAAGAUAGUACCACAAGAGGAAGAGACGGCUAACUCUGUGCCAGUAGCCUCGGUAAUACAGAGGUCUCAAGCGUUGUUCGGAAUCACUGGGCGUAAAGGGUGCGUAGGCUGUUUCGUAAGUCGUGUGUGAAAGGCGCGGGCUCAACCCGCGGACGGCACAUGAUACUGCGAGACUAGAGUAAUGGAGGGGGAACCGGAAUUCUCGGUGUAGCAGUGAAAUGCGUAGAUAUCGAGAGGAACACUCGUGGCGAAGGCGGGUUCCUGGACAUUAACUGACGCUGAGGCACGAAGGCCAGGGGAGCGAAAGGGAUUAGAUACCCCGGUAGUC